GAGGAUAUAGUUCAAUAGUAGAACAUCUGCCUAGCAUAUGUGAGGCCCUGGGUUCAAUCCCCAGUAUCAUCA
RNAcentral lists this transfer RNA (72 nucleotides) under Fukomys damarensis (Damara mole-rat). It matches the Rfam family "tRNA". Rfam says of the family: Transfer RNA (tRNA) molecules are approximately 80 nucleotides in length. Their secondary structure includes four short double-helical elements and three loops (D, anti-codon, and T loops). Further hydrogen bonds mediate the characteristic L-shaped molecular structure. tRNAs have two regions of fundamental functional importance: the anti-codon, which is responsible for specific mRNA codon recognition, and the 3' end, to which the tRNAs corresponding amino acid is attached (by aminoacyl-tRNA synthetases). tRNAs cope with the degeneracy of the genetic code in two manners: having more than one tRNA (with a specific anti-codon) for a particular amino acid; and 'wobble' base-pairing, i.e. permitting non-standard base-pairing at the 3rd anti-codon position. The record is from Rfam by way of RNAcentral. Lineage: Eukaryota; Metazoa; Chordata; Mammalia; Rodentia; Bathyergidae.